RNAcentral lists this ribosomal RNA (492 nucleotides) under uncultured bacterium. Its description in RNAcentral is "partial 16S ribosomal RNA". It matches the Rfam family "Bacterial small subunit ribosomal RNA", at positions 29 to 507 of the family's 1533-position model. The record is from RNAcentral.
AGUGAACGCUGGCGGUAGGCCUAACACAUGCAAGUCGAACGGCAGCACAGUAAGAGCUUGCUCUUACGGGUGGCGAGUGGCGGACGGGUGAGGAAUACAUCGGAAUCUACUUUUUCGUGGGGGAUAACGUAGGGAAACUUACGCUAAUACCGCAUACGACCUACGGGUGAAAGCAGGGGAUCUUCGGACCUUGCGCGAUUGAAUGAGCCGAUGUCGGAUUAGCUAGUUGGCGGGGUAAAGGCCCACCAAGGCGACGAUCCGUAGCUGGUCUGAGAGGAUGAUCAGCCACACUGGAACUGAGACACGGUCCAGACUCCUACGGGAGGCAGCAGUGGGGAAUAUUGGACAAAGGGCGCAAGCCUGAUCCAGCCAUACCGCGUGGGUGAAGAAGGCCUUCGGGUUGUAAAACCCUUUUGUUGGGAAAGAAAAGCAGCAGGUUAAUACCCCGCUGUUCUGACGGUACCCAAAGAAUAAGCACCGGCUAACUUCGUG